This 613-nucleotide ribosomal RNA is filed under the name Bacillus sp. CSu1_29. RNAcentral describes it as "bacterial SSU rRNA". It matches the Rfam family "Bacterial small subunit ribosomal RNA", at positions 56 to 649 of the family's 1533-position model. The record is from RNAcentral. Lineage: Bacteria; Bacillati; Bacillota; Bacilli; Caryophanales; Bacillaceae.
UGCAAGUCGAGCGAAUGGAUUAAGAGCUUGCUCUUAUGAAGUUAGCGGCGGACGGGUGAGUAACACGUGGGUAACCUGCCCAUAAGACUGGGAUAACUCCGGGAAACCGGGGCUAAUACCGGAUAACAUUUUGAACCGCAUGGUUCGAAAUUGAAAGGCGGCUUCGGCUGUCACUUAUGGAUGGACCCGCGUCGCAUUAGCUAGUUGGUGAGGUAACGGCUCACCAAGGCAACGAUGCGUAGCCGACCUGAGAGGGUGAUCGGCCACACUGGGACUGAGACACGGCCCAGACUCCUACGGGAGGCAGCAGUAGGGAAUCUUCCGCAAUGGACGAAAGUCUGACGGAGCAACGCCGCGUGAGUGAUGAAGGCUUUCGGGUCGUANAACUCUGUUGUUAGGGAAGAACAAGUGCUAGUUGAAUAAGCUGGCACCUUGACGGUACCUAACCAGAAAGCCACGGCUAACUACGUGCCAGCAGCCGCGGUAAUACGUAGGUGGCAAGCGUUAUCCGGAAUUAUUGCGCGUACAGCGCGCGCAGGUGGUUUCUUAAGUCUGAUGUGAAAGCCCACGGCUCAACCGUGGAGGGUCAUUUGGAACUGGGAGACUUGAGUGC